This 253-nucleotide ribosomal RNA is filed under the name uncultured bacterium. RNAcentral's name for it is "partial 16S ribosomal RNA". It matches the Rfam family "Bacterial small subunit ribosomal RNA", at positions 524 to 776 of the family's 1533-position model. The record is from RNAcentral.
UACGUAGGGAGCAAGCGUUGUCCGGAAUUAUUGGGCGUAAAGAGCUCGUAGGCGGUUUGUCACGUCUGCUGUGAAAACUGGAGGCUCAACCUCCAGCCUGCAGUGGGUACGGGCAGACUAGAGUGCGGUAGGGGAGAUUGGAAUUCCUGGUGUAGCGGUGGAAUGCGCAGAUAUCAGGAGGAACACCGAUGGCGAAGGCAGAUCUCUGGGCCGUAACUGACGCUGAGGAGCGAAAGCAUGGGGAGCGAACAGG